UGUGUGUGUGUGGUGUGUGUGUGUGUGUGUGUGUAUAUCUGGGUGUGUUGUAUAUCUGUGUGUGUGUGUAUAUCUGUGUUGUGUGUGUGUGGUAUAUCUGGUGUGUGUGUGUGGUGUGUGUGUGUGUGUAUAUCUGUGUGUGUGUGUGUGUGUGUGUGUGUGUAGAGGAGUAAGGUAAAAUCUUUUGGUAAGUUGGACAAAGCGAGACCUUCAGAGACGUUUUGUCAUUAAUGAACUUCCAUAAAUAGAUAAUAUAACGGGACAGAAGAUCAGCUGCUCUUCUUCUUCUGUCUCUGUAGUUUUUCAUGUUAGUCUGAGUGUCAAAAUCUUCCCUUUAAAUUCUGCGACGUUACCUAUUUUUAUACUUAUAUAUACACACACACACAUAUAUAUACAUAUAAAUAUAUAUGAUAAAAGAUAUUUAUGUGACAGUUGUGUACAAUGUUGUGUAAUCUGUUUUGAUUUUUGGACAGAGUGAGACCUCUGCCUGUGUUCAGAUCUUUGCAGCUUUAACUUCCUGUGGUUCUCUGGUGAUCCACCAAUAAAACCUCAUCAAACUG
Long non-coding RNA from Etheostoma spectabile (orangethroat darter), 560 nucleotides. RefSeq lists it as uncharacterized. The transcript is spliced from 2 exons. The record is from RefSeq and is a predicted model, not a curated record. NCBI's taxonomy places the organism in Eukaryota, Metazoa, Chordata, Actinopteri, Perciformes, Percidae.